UACGUAGGUCCCGAGCGUUGUUCGGAUUUAUUGGGCGUAAAGCGAGCGUAGGUGGUUUAUUAAGUCUGGUGUAAGAGGCAGUGGCUCAACCAUUGUAUGCAUUGGAAACUGGUAGACUUGAGUGCAGGAGAGGAGAGUGGAAUUCCAUGUGUAGCGGCGAAAUGCGUAGAUAUAUGGAGGAACACCGGUGGCGAAAGCGGCUCUCUGGCCUGUAACUGACACUGAGGCUCGAAAGCGUGGGGAGCAAACAGG
RNAcentral lists this ribosomal RNA (252 nucleotides) under uncultured bacterium. RNAcentral's name for it is "partial 16S ribosomal RNA". It matches the Rfam family "Bacterial small subunit ribosomal RNA", at positions 524 to 776 of the family's 1533-position model. The record is from RNAcentral.